RNAcentral lists this ribosomal RNA (269 nucleotides) under uncultured prokaryote. Its description in RNAcentral is "partial 16S ribosomal RNA". It matches the Rfam family "Bacterial small subunit ribosomal RNA", at positions 524 to 792 of the family's 1533-position model. The record is from RNAcentral.
UACGGAGGGUGCUAGCGUUGUUCGGAAUUACUGGGCGUAAAGAGCGUGUAGGCGGUUGGGAAAGUCAGAUGUGAAAGCCCGGGGCUCAACCCCGGAAGUGCAUUUGAAACUCCCCGGCUAGAGUAUGGGAGAGGAGAGUGGAAUUCCCAGUGUAGAGGUGAAAUUCGUAGAUAUUGGGAGGAACACCCGUGGCGAAGGCGACUCUCUGGACCAAUACUGACGCUGAGACGCGAAAGCGUGGGGAGCAAACAGGAUUAGAUACCCCUGUA